RNAcentral lists this long non-coding RNA (334 nucleotides) under Phoenix dactylifera (date palm). Its description in RNAcentral is "long non-coding RNA (PDAC_LNC000541)". Lineage: Eukaryota; Viridiplantae; Streptophyta; Magnoliopsida; Arecales; Arecaceae. The record is from RNAcentral.
AAUGCGGAAGAAUGGGGCCGAAAUAGUUUACCCCUAUUUCGAAUAGUAAUCUCAGUGAUUGUCAGUGCAAAUCAAGGUGACAGUGGCUGCAUGACUAAGAAAAGAAAGAGAGAGACAGGUGACAUUUACCUCAGUCCGGCGAGGUAUCUGACAGCUUUUCUAGCGGAGAAUCGAGGAAAGAAUGCGAAAAUCAAACUCGGAAUUGGUGGCUAAUCCUCGGGCAUUCAACAAUGGAGUUUGUAGGAGGAGGUGGAGGACCUUUAAUAGAUGAGAUCCUAGAGUUUUAGAUAAUCUUGGAUUGCCUUAGGAGUCCCGAAUUCCGGCGAGAUCGGGG